UGAAUACGAAAUGCUACGGCAUUGAAGUGAUCUAUGCCAGGCUUCCAAGAAAAUCUCGUCAUAUCUUAAGCAGUAGAUGCCUGUACCUUAAACCGACACAGGUAGGUAGGUAGAGUAUACCAAGGGGCGCGAGAUAACUCUCUCUAAGGAACUCGGCAAAAUAACCUCGUAACUUCGGAAGAAGAGGUACCCUUGAAAAAGGGUUGCAAUAACCAGACCCUGGCGACUGUUUACCAAAAACACAGGUCUCCGCUAAUUCGUAAGAUCAAGUAUGGGGCUGACGCCUGCCCAGUGCCGGAAGGUUAAAGAAGUUGGUCAAUCUUUGGAUGAAGCUGGCGACUGAGGCCCCGGUGAACGGCGGCCGUAACUAUAACGGUCCUAAGGUAUCGAAGUUCCUUGUCGGGUAAGUUCCGACCCGCACGAAAGGCGUAACGAUCAGGGUGCUGUCUCGGAGAGAGACUCGGCGAAAUAGACAUGUCUGUGAAGAUGCGGACUACCUGCACCUGGACAGAAAGACCCUAUGAAGCUUUACUGUAUCUUGGAAUUGGGUUUGGGCCUUGCUUGCGCAGGAUAGGUGGGAGGCUGUGAAGAUAUUCUUGCGGGAAUGUUGGAGCCAACGGUGAGAUACCACUCUAGUAAGGCUAAAAUUCUAACUCUGAACCGUUAUCCGGUCAGAGAACAGUUUCAGGUGGGCAGUUUGACUGGGGCGGUCGCCUCCUAAAAGGUAACGGAGGCGCGCAGGGUUCCCUCAGGCUGGUUGGACAUCAGUCGUAGAGUGUAAAGGCAUAAGGGAGCUUGACUGCGAGACCCACAAGUCGAGCAGAGACGAAAGUCGGCCUUAGUGAUCCGACGGUUCCACGUGGAAGGGCCGUCGCUCAACGGAUAAAAGUUACUCUAGGAUAACAGGCUGAUCUCCCCCAAGAGUUCACAUCGACGGGGAGGUUUGGCACCUCGAUGUCGGCUCAUCGCAUCCUGGGGCGGUAGUACGUCCCAAGGGUUGGGCUGUUCGCCCAUGAAAGCGGUACGCGAGCUGGGUUCAGAACGUCGUGAGACAGUUCGGUCCAUAUCCGGUGCAGGCGUUAGAGCAUUGAGAGGAGUCCCCCUUAGUACGAGAGGACCGGGGGGAAUACACCGCUGGUGUACCAGUUAUCGUGCCAACGGUAAACGCUGGGUAGCCAUGUGUAGCGCGGAUAACUGCUGAAAGCAUCUAAGUAGGAAGCCCACCUUAAGAUGAGUGCUCUCACCGCUAUAAGCGGGUAAGGUCACGGUAAGAACAACCGUUAUAUAGGCAUUAAGUAUACGUGCAGUAAUGCAUUUAGCUGAGAUGUACUAACAGACCGAGGGCUUGAU
This 1350-nucleotide ribosomal RNA is filed under the name metagenome. Its description in RNAcentral is "bacterial LSU rRNA". It matches the Rfam family "Bacterial large subunit ribosomal RNA", at positions 1564 to 2925 of the family's 2925-position model. The record is from RNAcentral.